Molecule: ribosomal RNA, 248 nt
Filed under: Goniomonas pacifica
Lineage: Eukaryota; Cryptophyceae; Goniomonadida; Goniomonadaceae
Description: partial Bacterial large subunit ribosomal RNA
Rfam family: Bacterial large subunit ribosomal RNA
Source: RNAcentral
GAGAUUCCCUAAGUAGCGGCGAGCGAACGGGGAUUAGCCCUUAAGCUAAACAACUGGUAGGAGAAGGCUCUGGAAAGUGCCGCCAUAGUGGGUGAUAGCCCCGUAUCCGAAACCUGAGUUUAGUGAAAUCGAGUAGGACGGGACACGUGGUAUCCUGUCUGAAUAUGGGGGGACCAUCCUCCAAGGCUAAAUACUCCUGACUGACCGAUAGUGAACCAGUACCGUGAGGGAAAGGCGAAAAGAACCCC